Lonchura striata (white-rumped munia) is the source of this 1649-nucleotide long non-coding RNA. Lineage: Eukaryota; Metazoa; Chordata; Aves; Passeriformes; Estrildidae. The record is from Ensembl.
UGGCAUCCAGCAAACUGAUUAGCUUUCCUCUAAUAUGACUCCACUUUGUAAUUACAGGAACCAGCUUCUCCUGGGGAGGGGGAUGCCUGGGUAAGAGGCUCAGAGACCAUCCUGACAUCACUGCAAUCGUGAUUUCACCAGGAUACUGUACUGCAAGGAUCAUCCGAUGCUUUCUUCAUAAAUGGGACUAUCACCUGCAAUUCAGUGUGUGAAAAAUGUGAUUGACCUUCCCUAUUUCCUCAGAGAGCAACUAUGGCUCAGAAUGAAAUGCUGCCUUUGGAAUUAACCCAUCUGUAAUGGCAAGGAUCAUCUCCAAGCCCAUCAUUUCUGAAAUGCUUUUUUACUGGUGAAGGGGCAGUCUUCCGGGGCAAGUCCCUGAGCAGUGUCUUCUGGGCAAAAGACUAUGGUGAGGUCUGCCAGCACCCAGCCUGGGACAGAAGUCCACAGCAGCGGAGCCAGAGCUCUGAGGAGGCACUGCAGGUUCCCUCCCCGAUCCAGUCAAAAGAACCUGAUCUGCUCUGAAAGCCAGGAUUUUCUUCCAGAAUAUCAAGGGUCUGGUUCUUUUGGGCCCAACUGCAAAUCCAGGAGCCUUUGUCUGUAUUCUACAGAGCUCUGUCACUGCAAACAGACUCCUUUGGUUUCCAAGUAAGUCAAGCCCAGGACUUGUCCUGUGUUCUCUCCCUUUAUAUUUGUAUUACUGUUCCAUUACAUACAGCAGGGUGCUUCAGAGAGGAGAUGAAAAGAAGCUUGGAAGUUUGCCUCUAUAAAUGUGUGAAUUUAUUUUUAAACCUCUUGAAUUAUUUACUUUGUCUGCCUUUUUCAAUGACAGGUGAAUAUGUUUGUGACUUGUUCUCUUUCCCAAGGAAGCACUUGGUUGAAGUGAAUUAAUUACGUGUAGAGUAAAUGCAGCUGAUGUUAAUUUUCAAGUCAAGUUUUAGCUUUGCUGAAAUUUCAGAAAGAAAGUAGUGUUUUAUAAAUUAAAUGCUGCUUUGUGUGCUUUCUUUUUAAAGAAGGCUUGGCAUCUGGAAAGAAAGCAGGGAGAGAAAACAAACAUACUAAAUGAUGGAAACUCGUCUUUAAGGAUAUACUCCAUCAGCUAUCAGUACACAACUGUGAGAGAUCCAUGUGGCAGCUCAUCAACAGUAUAUUGAGGCUCCAGCAGCACCCCAACACCUUUGGCAGGAAUUGGUUUCAGUGGCAAAUUGCUGGUCUCUGGCAGGAGCUGCUGCUUUGACCUGACAGGGUGAUUAGAUUGGUUGCUCCUCUCUGUAACAGUACAUGCCAUGUGCUCUACCAGGAGAACCUCAUUCUUCUUCAGAGUGGUGUAGAUUCUGAUCCCAUGAGAGCUGAACUGACAGGAUCCUGGGCUGCCAGGCAUUGCCAGUGGGAUAGAUGAACCCUAGUUUCCCUUUGCUGUUCCAUCUGAGGCUCUAGUGAGCUUUUCAGAUCCUCUCUCCAGAAGGUUGGGCUGAUCUUAGAAUAACUCCUGUGGUGUGAGUUGUCUUGGGAGCACAGCACUUAGCUGGAUUGGUGCAGUGUGUUGAGACAGUGGCUCUGGAUCUGGCUGGACUCUCCUGAGGCAGGAGAUGCCCUGCAGGUCCCCAGCAGACAGGCCAGUUGUUAGAACAAUGAUUGUGGCAGAUGCUUGC